RNAcentral lists this ribosomal RNA (253 nucleotides) under uncultured bacterium. RNAcentral's name for it is "partial 16S ribosomal RNA". It matches the Rfam family "Bacterial small subunit ribosomal RNA", at positions 524 to 776 of the family's 1533-position model. The record is from RNAcentral.
UACGGAGGGUGCAAGCGUUAUCCGGAUUCACUGGGUUUAAAGGGUGCGUAGGUGGGUUGGUAAGUCAGUGGUGAAAUCCCCGAGCUUAACUUGGGAACUGCCAUUGAUACUAUCAGUCUUGAAUACCGUGGAGGUCAGCGGAAUAUGUCAUGUAGCGGUGAAAUGCUUAGAUAUGACAUAGAACACCAAUUGCGAAGGCAGCUGGCUACACGAGUAUUGACACUGAGGCACGAAAGCGUGGGGAUCAAACAGG